GGUGAACGCUGGCGAUGUGCUUAACACAUGCAAGUCGAGGGGUAUAGGUUUUCGGACCUAGAGACCGGCGCACGGGUGCGUAACGCGUAUGCAAUCUACCUUGUACAGGGGGAUAGCCCAGAGAAAUUUGGAUUAAUACCCCAUAGUAUUAUAGAAUGGCAUCAUUUUAUAAUUAAAGUUCCAACGGUACAAGAUGAGCAUGCGUCCCCUUAGCUGGUUGGUAUGGUAACGGCAUACCAAGGCUACGAUGGGUAGGGGUCCUGAGAGGGAGAUCCCACACACUGGUACUGAGACACGGACCAGACUCCUACGGGAGGCAGCAGUGAGGAAUAUUGGUCAAUGGACGCAAGUCUGAGCGAGCCAUGCCGCGUGCAGGAUGACGGUCCUAUGGAUUGUAAACUGCUUUUGUACAGGAAGAAACACUCCUACGUGUAGGAACUUGACGGUACUGUAAGAAUGAGGAUCGGCUAACUCCGUGCCAGCCGCCGCCGUAA
This 494-nucleotide ribosomal RNA is filed under the name uncultured bacterium. RNAcentral describes it as "partial 16S ribosomal RNA". It matches the Rfam family "Bacterial small subunit ribosomal RNA", at positions 28 to 523 of the family's 1533-position model. The record is from RNAcentral.